Molecule: long non-coding RNA, 398 nt
Organism: Eurypyga helias (sunbittern)
Lineage: Eukaryota; Metazoa; Chordata; Aves; Eurypygiformes; Eurypygidae
Exons: 3
Source: RefSeq, a predicted model, not a curated record
ACAAUCCUGGUCUAGUGAGCCACAUUCCAGUUGGUGUUAGAAUACUGGACGUCAAUGACAACCCUCCAGAGCUCGCCAGAGAGUAUGACAUAGUUGUCUGUGAAAAUGCAAAGCCUGGUCAGGUAAUUCAGACUAUCACUGCAACUGACAAAGAUAAUACUGCAAAUGGGGCAAGAUUCCAUUUUUCCCUUGACGAAGGGCUUUCUUUGAAUCCCAACUUUACUCUGACGGACAAUGAAGAUAAUACAGCCAGUAUCCUGACAAGACGAAGGAGAUACAGUCGAACUACUCAAGAUAUCUAUUACCUCCCGGUUGUGAUUUCUGAUGGUGGAGUGCCCCCUCUCAGCAGCAGCAGUACUCUCACAAUUAGGGUUUGUGCAUGUGAGAGAGAUGGACGA